CAACCAGUAUGGGACAAAAAGCCUGACCCUGUUCCUGAUCCAGUACAACCCUUGUUACAGGAGUUUGCAGAUAUCUUCAAAGAACCUACUGAGCUACCACCCUCUCGAACUUUGAACCAUGCAAUACACUUGUUACCAGGGGCCUCUCCUGUCAACUCCAAACCUUACAGAUACUCACCACUGCAAAAAGAUGAGAUUGAAAGGCAAGUUGCAGAAAUGCUUAAAGCUGGUACUAUCACUCCCAGUCUCAACUCUUUUGCUUCUCCUGUCCUAUUGGUAAAAAAGAAAGAUGGAUCUUGGAGAUUUUGCGUAGAUUAUAGGAAGCUAAAUUCCAUCACUUUGAAGAGCAAGUUCCCAAUGCCAGUGGUGAUGAGCUUUUGGAUGAGCUUAGUGGCACUAAGUGGUUCUCCAAGUUAG
This 417-nucleotide ribosomal RNA is filed under the name Triticum aestivum (bread wheat). RNAcentral describes it as "partial small subunit ribosomal RNA". The record is from RNAcentral. Lineage: Eukaryota; Viridiplantae; Streptophyta; Magnoliopsida; Poales; Poaceae.